UUUUGUCCCCAUGCUCAGGCUCCUUUUAUUGGAUGCGAACACUCUGUUAUUGAAUCCUGCCCUGCAGGAGAAGAUACAAGUUUCCCAGACAGCAGAGAGGUUGUUUCAGAGGCUUAUAAGGGUUUUAAUGUUUCUGAGAGAGUCUGGAACCUGAGAUGCGGGACAAGGAAUGGGUGGCAAUCUCUGUUAUGUGCCACUUAUGUGUCUGGGGGGAAGAGCCUAGAUUAAGUUCUAAGGAUUCGGUGAGUAGAUGAAUAAACCCAAAGGUCCUUAAGGAGCA
Molecule: long non-coding RNA, 280 nt
Filed under: Monodelphis domestica (gray short-tailed opossum)
Lineage: Eukaryota; Metazoa; Chordata; Mammalia; Didelphimorphia; Didelphidae
Description: lncRNA (ENSMODG00000045918.1)
Source: RNAcentral